AGAGUUUGAUCAUGGCUCAGAAUGAACGCUGGCGGCAGGCUUAACACAUGCAAGUCGAACGGGUGCUUCCGAUACCACUAGUGACGGGUGGGUGCCUAACGCGAACCCACCUCUUGGUUCACUGCGGGAUAGGCCAACUUGUGGUAGAUUAAUAUCACCCCUUACAGGGAAAGAUUUUUCGGCAACUGAUCAACACGCGUCUGAUUAGGAUGGGGUUGCGGUAAUGGCCUACCUUGGCGACGAUACGGCCCUGGUCUGAGAGGAUGAUCAGGGGACUUGAGACUGUGAUCCCCCCCCUGUCCUACAGAUACGGGCCAUACUCCAAUAUUGAACAAUGGGGGCAACCCUGAUCCAAUGUGCCACGUGCUGACCCAAGGCCCCGGGUUGUAAAGCUCUUUUGUCUGGGUUGAUAAUGACUUUUCUCCGGAAUAAACCCCCCUUAACUUCACGCUGACGGUACCUGAAUAAUAAAGGCCGCUAGCGUUGCUGCCAAUCACUGGGCGUAUACGGAGGGUGCGCGCGUUUUCCGGAUUUAUGUGAUUUCCUGGAUGUCUACUCGGAACUGCCUUUGAUACUGGAAAUCUUGAGCUCAACUGAGGUGCUGCCAUGUGCGCUGGUAGAGGUGAGUUCAGAAGAUGUUCGCAAGAUGGAUGCUGUAACGGCGAAAUCACUGGCUCAGCAUCUGAAACCCAGAUUGCAAAGCGUGGUGACUAACUGAUCUGAUACCCUAGGUACGCCACGCGUGUAGAGAUGAAAUGCAUUACGUUCGCUGGGUAUUCCACCCCCGUAAACGCAUGGUAUACCUCCUUUAGGCAGUACAAUGUCGGUGGCUUAGCGAAAGCGUUAAGUAUCCCACCUGGGGAGUACGCCCGCAAGGGUGAAACUCAAAGGAAUUGACGG
Molecule: ribosomal RNA, 900 nt
Filed under: uncultured bacterium
Lineage: Bacteria
Description: partial 16S ribosomal RNA
Rfam family: Bacterial small subunit ribosomal RNA
Source: RNAcentral